Molecule: long non-coding RNA, 6118 nt
Organism: Mirounga angustirostris (Northern elephant seal)
Lineage: Eukaryota; Metazoa; Chordata; Mammalia; Carnivora; Phocidae
Exons: 2
Source: RefSeq, a predicted model, not a curated record
CUUUGUUUGAGCGGCCGGAGGGCGGCGUCGGGACGCGAGUCCUUCGGGUCGGGGUCAUGGUCCCUCCUGAAGCCAGAGAGGCCUGCACGGGCCGGGGGCUGUUCUCACAGGACCGUGUCACCCAUGCUGUACGGACACAGCCCCUUGUUGGUGCUGGGUGAGGGCCGUAGCUGGCCUUUCACUUCAAGGGAAGCUAUGAAAUACUGAGCUUUGCGGGGACUUGAAAGGCAGGAUGGCCUCGGUGUCCGAGGGAGGGGGGCGCUGACUCUCGCAGUGGGGUCUUCUGGGAGUCUGUCGAAUUCUGGCGAAGGAACCGGUCUCGCCUGGCCAGCAGAUAGGUCGGAGGGUUUCAAAUGAAUGCCGAAGGCGAGCUGGAAUUCCAGAGGUGAAAGGUCCUUUUUCAAGCAAAGUCCCCGCUGCAAACACUUCCCUUUUGUCACCUUCGGAGUCACCUGUGCGGACCAAGACUCAGAAAUUACCAUGAGAUGAAACCGUGGCAACUGUUUCGUUGCACUUCUGAGCAGAAUGGCUUAAAAAUAGUACCCCGCCCCCUUUCCAAUGUGUGGAAGUACUUUGUUUCGUAUCUUGGAAGGUCAUAACUGUUCUCCAGCUGUGAAUAUGAUUCAGAACGAGCUUUUUUUUUUUCAUUUGUGCAACCAGUGUUUAGUAAAAGCCGCCUGCUUGCUAGAAACUUGUGUUAGGCACCUUUUGGGAACUAAACUUUAUUAUGGAAGAUGAGCUGGACACUUAAUUUUAAUAGCAGUGUAUUUGAAACCAGAAAUAUUCCCAUUAUCUCUUAUAGUGGGAGAGAGAUAUUGUCCCAUCCUUUCUUUGAUAGAACAGUUUUUUAAAUGUUGUAGUGUGGUGUAGUGUGCUCUGGGGUGGUUUAAGGACUGAUGCAUCUGGGAGGACCAGUUGGCAUAAUGACUUUGAUGAGAUUACGUAGCACAGCCAAAAGUGCACCUGUUGGGUGUACCCAGAAUCUCUUCCUUAGGCAAACUGUGGGUAGAAGUGAGUUCUAUUUAUUUUUCUUAUAAUCAUUAGUAGAGACUGAGUGAGAAGUGUUUUAGAAGAUCUGGCCUUUGCUGUUGAGGAUUAAAUUGGGUGUGGAUAACUUGUGGCUGGGCUUUGGUGAAUGUCUGAUGCUGGUUAACACUCUACUAAGCUAAAGGGAACAUGCUUGAUCAGGUAAUUUUUCCUUUGAGGUAUCUCUAAGCCCUGAGAUGUAUGGAUCUUAUGCCCUAGAGUAAAAUUUAGUUCCUGGUCUUUCACCCCUUUCCAUCACACAUGCUAUUUAACUUUUUUCUUUCAACCUGAACACUCAUUGUUCUUUUCUUCUACCCACCCCCCCACCUUUUUUUUUUUUUUUUUUUUUUGCUUCACCUUUCUUACUCUCCUUCUCCUUUAUAUAGAAAGGUUAGUCUCUGGGUACAGUACCUGCUUCCUGUUGUGAAAUGCCUUUUUUCCCCCUGUUUUUAUGUAUCCUUCAAUAAAGUAAAAUUUCUCUAAAAGGAUCUUUUGGAAUCUUUAUCAUGUGAUGUCUGUACCAUCUGUCCUGUUGGAAAAGUCUCUCUUUUUUUUUUUUUUCUGCCCCAAGUAAGAGAAGUCAAUUCUGUGAGUGUGCCAGGGUGGAAGCCCUAAAAAAAGGUGGCUGGAGCCAUUGCCAGAGGCAGCUGUCCUUAUAUCAUGCUGCUUGUUCCCUUGACCCAGGUGCCUCCUCAUUGUGGGCACACUGUUCAUAGAAGCCCAUCCCACCGCUGGGUACUUUUCCUGGAUAUACUUACAGUUAUGUUUCAGCACAUUGUCUUUCGUUAGGAGAUAAAUUUACUUCAGAAAGGAGCAGUAUAGCCUAGGAGGAACAGAUGCAUUCUUGUUUCUUUCACCCUCCUAUGUGAGUUAGUCUCCCAAAAGAGCAUAGUGUGACUGUUAAUGACAAGCUUUGAUGAAAACAUUGUUACUUCUUCUUUUCUGAAGCUUGUUUUUUUUGUUUGUUUGGUUUUUUAAAGAUUUUAUUCAUUCAUUUGAUAGAGCACAAGCAGGGGGAGCAGGAGAGAGAGAAGCAGUCUCCCCACUGAGCAGGGAGCCCAACACAACAGGGGGCAACAUGGGGCUCUAUCCCAGGACCCUGGGAUCAUGACCUGAGCCACCCACGUGCCCCAUGAAGCUUGUUUUUAAAAGUAAUAUUUUUUCUUAGGGUUUUAUAUGUCAUAAUUUUAAAAUAUAUAUAAUCCCAGCCCCAGUUUGUGUUCAUCUGAAUUUUUCUCUAAAUCAUACCUGUUUGUAUAAUUUUGUCAUGCCCACAGCUUGAUAUGGGAAGCCUUUUGUCAAAUUUGAGUGGAGAAGUUAGGAAAUCAGUUUAUUAGCUGAUCCUUUGACUGUUUGGAGGAUAUUGUUAAUUUCACUUACCACCUACUGCAUCCUGGGCACUAUGUUAGCCACAGGGCAAGCAACAUUGAGUAAGACGGACACAGUCCCAGCCUUCCUUGAGCUUAUAGUCUAGUGGGGGAGAAAGACAUUCGUUGAAUAAGUACUUAGAAACAUGUUCCAAGUGUGUGUGAUUUGGGGGAAGGUGAAGGGGAGAAGCUAGUUUGGGUCAUUGGGGACUGCUUCUCUGAAGAAAAGAUUUAAGCAGAGCCUAAAGGAUAAAUAGAAGUGAGUGAGGCCAAGGCAAAGCUGCAACUGGAGGUUGCAACGAAGAAUUUUUAGCUACAGGGAAUGUCACUAUGAAGGCCCCAAGGCGGGAUAGAGACAGGUGAGUGAGGAAAGGAAAGACCCACAUGGCUGCAGAGUUUAGAGUGAGGCUAAGCCUCCAACAAGGCUGCAGGGGUGGGUAGGAAGCUUGAUAGGCCCCUGCAGGGUCUCUUACGCUGUUAGAAACACCGUGGAGUGGUUGGAGUGUGUGAAAGAGAGAGAAAUGAUGAGAUUGUUUAAAAGCUUACUUUGAUUGCAUUUAUUGUAUUUUGCUAAAUACUGUAUUUAUUUUGUGAGUUUCUCUUGCCUCUUGAAUUAAACUGGUAGGUAUCAAUUACUGAAAGUUGGAAGCAUCAUCAAAGCCCGAGAGUAGCAUCUUAAUUGCUUACAUGAGUGUAGUGCUAAAAUACAGAAAUACAAGCAGUCCCUUUCCCUAAUACACUAGGUAUUAUACUCAGGUACCCUGUGCUCCUUAAAAGGAAAAUGAAAAAGAAAAAAAAGCGAGAGAGAAACCAAGAGCGUAUGUGUAUUUUCUUCAACAGCCCUGAGCCAUCCCACUUUUUAAGCAUCAGAACAUUGGACAUUCUGGGAUUUAGUGUCAAGCCCUCUCUUCAAAUAUUAGAUUACACCUGGAAUGAAAGGGAAAGGAUCAGACACUUCACAAAUACCUAUAUUGUGUGAGACCCAGAGCUAGGCAUUGUGUUUGUUAUUUGUAUCUUUCAAGCCCUAAAAGUUGGUCAGGGAAUAUUAUACAUGCUCGGUUGUAAAUUAAUGCUCUACAGUAGAACGCUAGUUGAGGAAUCAGUUGAUAGCAGCUCUGUCACUGCCAGCUUCAGAGUCACUUUAUCAUUCUGAGCUUAGCAUCUUCCUCCAUAAAAAUGAUGAGAUUUACCAGUUAGUAAUUAUAAAAGUAGUAACUCAAUAAUGUUCCAGGCACUAUUCUAAACAUUUUACAUGGAUUAUCUCAUUUAAUCUUCACGGCAAUUUUAAGAAGCAGUUGCCUUUAUUAUUCCCAUUUUCCAGAUGAAGAUAUUGAGACACAGAAAGGUGAAGGAACUGGCCCAAGGUCACACAGUAAGUGGCUUCAGAGUCAUUGCUCCAUUACAUAAUACUUUGAAAGGUCCUUCCUGCUUGAUCAUUAUAUAAUUCUAGCUGAUUCAUAAUGCACCUAUAUUUAAAGUAUGUUGACCUAGAAUAGCAGACUCUAUUUGGGGGUAGGAGGAAGGGAGGAGUUCAGGAGUGAGGAAGAGUUUGCUCAGCUUUGUGCAUAUGUUUUGUCACAAGGAAAUUUUCUGAGCUGUGCUAUGAGCUUUCUGCUUUGCAGUUUUAGGUCCCUUUCCUGCUCACUCAGCAAACAGGAGGACUGCUGCCCUGAGCUCUAUCCAGCUGCAGGCUUCAUGGGCCCAACCAGCAGGUUAGGGCACAAGCACAUUGCAGUAUGCAUUCCAGAAAUAACAAAAGCUUGCAUAAUACUGACCAGAUGGUUGUCUGAGGAGGUGCUAUAAUUUUGCUUACUAACCCCCCCCAACCCAGGUGGAGGAGGGUGACUCUUGCCUGUAUAUGUUUGUGCUGUAUAAACAGUGCCAAGAGGACAUCUAGAAUGUGAGUGAUCCAGAGCAAGAUUCUCAUGGUCUCAUAACCACUGGCCAACCUUUUUGUUGUUGUUGUUUUAACAUUUUUAUUGAGAUAAUGAUUCACUUAUCGUAAAUUUCACCACUUAAAGUAUACUAGUUAAUAGUUUUUAGUGUAUUUAGAGUGUAACCAUCACCACAAUUUUAAAACAUUUGCAUUAUCCCCAAAAGAAACCCAGUUUGCAAUCAUUCCCACCCCACCCCCUCUUGCCUUUGACAACCACUAAUCUUAUGUCUGUGUAAACUUGUCUGUUCUAGACAUUUCAUAUAAAGGAAAUCAUACAUAAUGUGGUCUUUUGUGACUGACUUCUUUUACCUAGUAUAAUGUUUUUUGGGUUCACGAAUGUAUAAUAUGCAUCAGUACUUCAUUUCUUUUUAUUACAAAUAAUACUCCACUGUACGGAUAUACCAUAUUUUGUUUAUCCAUUCAUCAAUUGGAAAUUUGAGUUGCUCUAUUUGUUUGGGUUAUUAUGAGUAAAGGUUCUGUGAAUAUUUGUGUCAAGUUUUUGUGUGUACAUGUUUUUGUUUCUCUUGAAUGUAAACCUAGGAGUCGAGUUGCUGGGUCAUAUGGUAACUCUGUUGAAUAAUUUGGGGGAGCUACCAAGCCGUUUUCCAAACUGGCUGCACCAUUUUACAUUCUUAACAGUAAUGAAAGAAUGUUCCUAUUUCUCCACAUUCUCACCAACCUCCUUAUUAUCUGUGUUUUUUAUUAUAUCCAUUCCUGUGAGUGUGAAGUAGUAUCUCAUUGUGGUUUUGAUUUCUCUUUCUCUGAUGACUGUGUUGAUCAUCUUUUCAUGCACUUAUGAGCCAUUUGUAUAUCUUCUUUGGAGAAAUGUCUAUUUACAGCCUUUGCCCACUUGUUGACUGAGUUAUUUUGUCAUUAUGGAAUUGUAAGAGUUCUUUAUUCUGGAUAUAGUUUCCUUAUCAAAUAUAUGAUUUGCAAAUAUUUUUUCCUGUUCUGUAGAUUACCUUUCACUUUCUCGAUGGUAUCAUUUGCUGCACAAAAGUUUUUAAUUUUGAUUAAAAUUAAUUUUUAUCAAUUUUUUUUCUUUUAUUGCUUGUGCUUUUACUGUCAUAGCUUAAGAAACUAUUGCCUAACUUAACCCAAAGUCAUGAAGAUUUACUCCUGAUUUUUUCUAAGUUUUUAUAGUUUGAGCUCCUGCAUUUAGGUCUGUGGUCCAUUUUGAGUUAAUUUUUUUGUGUGAUGUGAGAGUUAAGGGUCACUUUUAUUUUUCACAUUCUCUGUGGUAUCCAGUGUUCAACUCUUUAUUCAUGAUUUCAGUGACGGGACCAUGGGCCAGUAUAUUUGAAUGUUUUAAAUGCGAAGGUUUGAAGUCAGAAAGCCCUGAGUUCAAAGUUCUCCUCUGCUACUUACUAGUGCUGACGCCUUGAGCAAGUUACUUACUCUCCCUGAGCCUCGGUUUUAAGAUGACAGCAAGAAUAAUAGCCAUACUAGGUUUAUUAUGAAGGUGAGAUGGAUAAUAUAUAUGAACCUGCCUGGUACAUAGUUCACUUACUGUUAGGUUAAUUGGACAGCUGUUUUCAUUAACGAUGCCAGAAAAAUUCAGUUGUUUAUUUUGUCUUUGUGCAAACUGUGGCUCCUCAUGGCUUCUGAGAGUAUAUGUAUCCUGAAUUCUUUCAGUCCUCCUUUUGGAAGUUGGAGUGGUAUAAUUUAUAAAGGAAAAUAUUCAAAUGAACCAUCAGAAUCUUGGAAUUGACUGUGUAGUCCUAUGACAGUCAUUCUUUUGAAUGAAUGCUGAUUACAGAUCAUGUAAUUUUGUGUAAUACUGUACUUU